This 472-nucleotide ribosomal RNA is filed under the name uncultured bacterium. Its description in RNAcentral is "bacterial SSU rRNA". It matches the Rfam family "Bacterial small subunit ribosomal RNA", at positions 28 to 487 of the family's 1533-position model. The record is from RNAcentral.
GAUGAACGCUAGCUACAGGCUUAACACAUGCAAGUCGAGGGGAAACGAUAUUGGAAGCUUGCUUCCGAUAGGCGUCGACCGGCGCACGGGUGAGUAACGCGUAUCCAACCUUCCGUACACUCAGGGAUAGCCUUUCGAAAGAAAGAUUAAUACCUGAUGGUAUGAUGAGAUUGCAUGAUAGCAUCAUUAAAGAUUUAUCGGUGUACGAUGGGGAUGCGUUCCAUUAGGUAGUAGGCGGGGUAACGGCCCACCUAGCCUGCGAUGGAUAGGGGUUCUGAGAGGAAGGUCCCCCACAUUGGAACUGAGACACGGUCCAAACUCCUACGGGAGGCAGCAGUGAGGAAUAUUGGUCAAUGGACGAGAGUCUGAACCAGCCAAGUAGCGUGCAGGAUGACGGCCCUAUGGGUUGUAAACUGCUUUUAUAAGGGAAUAAAGUGAGUCUCGUGAGACUUUUUGCAUGUACCUUAUGAAU